RNAcentral lists this ribosomal RNA (498 nucleotides) under uncultured bacterium. RNAcentral describes it as "partial 16S ribosomal RNA". It matches the Rfam family "Bacterial small subunit ribosomal RNA", at positions 28 to 523 of the family's 1533-position model. The record is from RNAcentral.
GAUGAACGCUAGCGGCAGGCCUAAUACAUGCAAGUCGGACGGGAUUGGAGAGCUUGCUUUCCAUGAGAGUGGCGCACGGGUGCGUAACACGUAUGUAACCUACCUUUAUCAGGGGGAUAGCCUCUCGAAAGAGAGAUUAACACCGCAUAAAAUCACAGAACGGCAUCGUUUAAUGAUCAAAUAUUUAUAGGAUAAAGAUGGGCAUGCGGGACAUUAGGUAGAUGGUGAGGUAACGGCUCACCAUGGCCAUGAUGUCUAGGGGAUCUGAGAGGAGGGCCACCCAGACUGUUAGUGAGGAACGGACCAGACUCCUACGGGAGGAAGCAGUAAGGAAUAUUGGUAAAUGGACGGAAGUCUGAACCAGCCAUGCCGCGUGCAGGAAGACGGCCCUACGGGUUGUAAACUGCUUUUGUACGGGAAUAAACCCAGAUACGAGUAUCUGGCUGAAUGUACUGUAAGAAUAAGGAUCGGCUAACUCCGUGCCAGCCGCCGCGGUAA